Long non-coding RNA from Ipomoea nil (Japanese morning glory), 2170 nucleotides. RefSeq lists it as uncharacterized. Lineage: Eukaryota; Viridiplantae; Streptophyta; Magnoliopsida; Solanales; Convolvulaceae. The record is from RefSeq and is a predicted model, not a curated record. The transcript is spliced from 7 exons.
UUCUAUUCGUGUCUCACAGCUCUGCCUCUUUCUCACCUCUGUCUCCGUCUCACCUGCGAUGGAGGUCGUCAACCGCUCAGAUCUAGACGGCUCUCGUCCCCUGCGUUCUGGAAUUCCGUAGCGUGUAACUUCUCCGGCCGCAUGGUUCCGACGAGGAUUCGAUCGGUUAGCUUCGCAGCUCUUUGUUUGGUUCUGAUCGCGAUUCCUUUUCUGGCAUCCGAAGCUUUGAUCGACGGCCAGGAUGCCAAUCCUCCUUACCCCAAAGUCAUAUCUGUCAGAAGGUGCAUCAAUGUCAGAAGUACGGAGAUUUAGAAGAAGAAACAUUGGUAUUACUUUGGAAAUUGGAGAUGAUAUCCUAAGGUCAAAUAUUACUGUUCUUAUAUUGUAAUCAUUAUUGUUAUAGUCAUUUUGGUCAUUACUUUCUUCAUUUUUCUAGUUUUACUAAAGCCCUCAUACUCUCACUUCACUCUGCAAUUCAUUCUGAAGGUCUAUGAGGUAAUGAUUGAAUAAUUGUAGUUUGUAAGUUUGAAAUAUAUCUGCUUGAAGUCCUUAAGGGAAUUCUUUAGCUUAUUUUCUCAACUUUCUAAGGAGAUACAGUGAAAGCCAAUUUGCACUACAUAUAACAAAACAGACUGUAUCAAUUAAUCCCAAGCCAUUUUUGAACAAUUUGACUGGAAAGCCUGUCAUGGUGAAACUCAAGUGGGGGAUGGAGUACAAAGGUACUAUUCUUCUCAUUCUUAAGAAGCAAGGUUUCUUGAUUGCAUUGCAGGAAUGGAGGUAGAUAUGCAGGGGAGUAUUUUGGGGAUAAAGUCCAUGGUUUUGGUGUGUAUCACUUUGCCAAUGGGCACUGUUACAAAGGGUCAUGGCACAAGGGGCGCAAACAAGGGUAUGGAGCAUACACAUUUCGAAAUGGGGAGACAAGAAGUGGUAUUCAUCAUUUUACUGUUUUAUUUAGUACUUUCAGGUUGCAAUAUUGAAAUACUAAUGUUAAUUUUAGACUGUUCUUUUUCUUACACCAGGGGUGGAAGAGACUUCUGGGUUAUAAUGUUGCAUACUUGCAUCUAUGCAUUUUUGUUUGAAUUUAUAUAAACUAUUACUUGUUAGUUAUAGGCAAUGUCUAAGAAAGUAAUCACAAUAUAAGAGUGAGAGAAGAAGCUGAACAAUGUUAGGAUUAGAAAAGAGGACAUGAAUAAACUAGUGAUGAACUUCCUAGUCACUGAGGGUUAUGUGGAAGCAGCAGAGAAAUUCAGAAAGGAAUCUGGGACAGAACGUAUCCUUAUAUCAUCUUUACUUAGUUGUUGUGUACAUUUAAGAGUUUUGUUUUUCGAGUGAGAGAAGCUCCUUGCCACAAAUCUUUUAUUGACUCUGCUGCCAUAUUUUUUGUUAUAAUUGGUGUUUAAUUUAAACAGAUAGCAGGAAAUGAUAAGGAUUCUGUGCUCAUUUCAUUUGCAACAAAGACCUCAUAUGUAUUUCAUUUAUUGUUUUUUACAAGUACCGUAGUAAUUUGUAUUGUUUUAAAGUGUGUUGAUGGAUAAAUUGUAUUGUGGAAUAAUGUUGAUAUGGAUUUUAAGCUGUAAUAGGUACAGGAAUUAUAAAAAAAAAAAAAUUGGGAUUUUAAUUGCCUUCGAGCAAAAGCAGCUAAAACUCCCAGUAAAGUGCCUGCUCCGGUCACACAUCAAAGUGAACCAACUAUUGUAAGAACAGUUCCCCAAGUCCCCCAACCUGGUCCUCCUCCUCUUUCAGUCACAGUGAGACCAAUGAUCCAAACUCCUCAAGGACCUCAACCCAUUGCUGCCCCUUCAGUAAGUGCAGGUAAGAAUGGUUCAGAUAGCUCCCAGAUGGAGUUUGAAGCAAAAUUUGCUAGGGAUGGUGCAUGAUGCUACAAUUUCCUAUCAUUUGCCAACAUAGGAUGAGUGUUUUCUGUUCUGGACACUAUGAAUGAUUUUGUGGACCUUUGCAACUUCAUCAGAUCCCUCUUGUAAUUGAUAGAGUAUAUUGCAAUUAGUCAUUCAGCUGCACUACAUUUAAUUCUUGCUCAUAUGUUUAGACAUUGGAUAUUCUGCUAUUCUGGUUUUUUGUAACAACAUACAUUGUUUAGACUUGAUUCGUGGAAUUGUUUUUUGUAGUAUUAUGACUUAGAUGAUAUAUGAUUCAAUUAGAAUUGGUCAUG